Molecule: long non-coding RNA, 562 nt
Organism: Galeopterus variegatus (Sunda flying lemur)
Lineage: Eukaryota; Metazoa; Chordata; Mammalia; Dermoptera; Cynocephalidae
Exons: 2
Source: RefSeq, a predicted model, not a curated record
CCAGGCCCAGAUCGACCAGUAUGUGGGGUUGGUGAACAGUCAACUGAGCCACGUCAAAGCUAAGAUCCGAGCUAAGAUCCCAGGGACAGGAGCCCUUGCCUCAGCAGCAGCUGCAGUGUCUGGAUCCAAAGCCAAAGCCGAAUGAGAGGGGUGUCUCUGCCUGCGGAACGCCUGCCCCCACCCGUUGCAGCCCUCUGGCCCCUCUCCAUCUCCCAUCCAUCCCCAUCCUCUCCCCGCCUCGGCCCGUCAUUCCCCGGUGGGUGUCAGGAUCGCUCAGACCAGGGAAUCUGCGCCAAUUGCCUGAGCGGCCAGGACUACAUUUCCCAAGAGGCACUGCUCUAGGAGUCCCGGAAAGGCGAGGCACCUUGGCCGCAGGGCCUUCUAGGACUUGUAGUUGACUAGGCAGGGCACCGCCCUGCACUUCCGUGACCCCGCCGCUGGAGGCGCCGUGAGGGGGUGGCGUCUCCUGGACGCCACUAGCCCCAACGCCUGGGCUUUGCAUGGGGCCCAGGCGAGGCCUGAGCUUGGAUUUACACUGUAAUAAAGACUCUUGUGGAAAACC